Molecule: small RNA, 2228 nt
Filed under: Pongo abelii (Sumatran orangutan)
Lineage: Eukaryota; Metazoa; Chordata; Mammalia; Primates; Hominidae
Description: retained intron
Source: RNAcentral
UUUCUUCAUCUCAGAGCCCAGUCCUGGGACAGGCAUGGCCAAGCCACUCAGAGAACGACACGGUUUCCGAUGUGUGUCCACUGGUCUCUCUCUGGGUCAGGCCUCUAGGUCCCUCUUGUUCCAGUGACAUCUUCUUGACCUGUUUUUAACAAAUGGCCUUUGCAACCCUGUCUUGUCUUCCCUCUUCUUUUCUCUGGAGGCGUCAGGAUGGUAGCCCUGUCCCCGGGGGCAGCAGGUGGAAUUGGGCCUGUGUGUCUCUGCAGAAAGUUUCUGUUCUUAACUGGGCUUUGUGGCUCACGCCUCUAAUCCCAGCACUUUGGGAGGCUGAGGCGGACAGAUCGCUGGAGCCCAGGAGUUCAAGACCAGCCUGGGCAACAGUGAGACCUGCUCUCUACAAAAAAUGUAGAAAUUAGCCAGGCAUGGUGGCGCAUGCCUGUGGUCCCAGCUACUUGGGAGGCGAAGGCUGCAGAGAGCUGAGAUCACACCAUUGCACUCUGGCCUGGGCGACAGAGUGGAGACCCUGUCUCAAACAAAAAAAAGUUUCUGUUCUUUUCUAGCUCAAAAGCCAAAAGUCUCUGAGAACGACUUUGAAGAUCUGUUGUCCAAUCAAGGCUUCUCCUCCAGGUCUGACAAGAAAGGGCCAAAGACCAUUGCAGAGAUGAGGAAGCAGGACCUGGCUAAAGACAUGGACCCGCUCAAGCUGAAGGUGGGUGGGUGGGCAGCUCUUCCUGGGAGCCCAGAGGCCUCAACCCAUGGCCCCUGGAGCAUCUGCUGUGCCUUACGGAGCGGGCGUCUCCAGCCAGGGACCUGUCACCCCUGGAGCAUCUCCUGUACCGCACGGAGCCGGCGUCUCCAGCCAGGGACCUGUCACUGCCGAUGGGCCUGGCAGCCCUCCAGGACAGGGUGGCCUGAGGCCUGGGGGGCAGGGCAGAGUCAGGCCCCAGGCCGUGCUGCUCCCCAUGUACCCAGAUGGCUCAGCGCUGGUGGGGGCAGGGUGGGCGGGCAUUACAGGAGUGAGUGCCCCUGGGGUGUCUGCAGAGACUGUUGAGGGCAGGCGUCUCCUGGGGCUGCUCUGGGUACUGAGCCUCCCAACCCAGGACGCUCACUGGGGGGUGAGGAUGCGGCGGUCAGGGUGUCACUGUGCCGGCCCUGAGACACGCCCUCCAGCUCUGCAGGCCACGUGUGCCUGUGACCUUGGGGUCCUUUCACAGGCACCAGGGACCAUCCCCUUCUCCCUCUGAGUCUGGGGCCUGGGAUGGGCCGAGGGGUUGCACCACCAGAACCAGGGUUUGUGUCCCCGGUGAACAUCUGGCUGAGACGAGGGUCCCUCUGGCCCCAGGCCCUGGAACAUGAAGGCCACCUGGCCCUGUGUCGUCCGGAGUGGGCUCUGUAUAGUUGAGGGCAGGGCGUGCAGUGGGACAGUGUCUGUGAGCCGGGCUGAGCCCACUCCACGUGACCAGGCACUUCCUCAGCGUCGUGCCUCAGUUUCCGCGGUGCAGAGGAGGAGGGCAGGCAGGGGCCCAGGGCUCAGCAAGCUCCGUGUCUCCCGCAGCUCCUGGACUGGAUUGAAGGCAAGGAGCGGAACAUCCGGGCCCUGCUGUCCACGCUGCACACAGUGCUGUGGGACGGGGAAAGCCGCUGGACGCCCGUGGGCAUGGCCGACCUGGUGGCUCCGGAGCAGGUGAAGAAGCACUAUCGCCGUGCGGUGCUGGCCGUGCACCCCGACAAGGCCGCAGGGCAGCCGUACGAGCAGCACGCCAAGAUGAUCUUCAUGGAGCUGAACGACGCCUGGUCGGAGUUUGAGAACCAGGGCUCCCGGCCCCUCUUCUGAGGCUGCAGUGGUGGUGGCUGUGCACACAGCUCCACAGGUCGGGAGCCGUCGUGAGACCCAGGUCCCCACUGUGAGGACCCCGUGGGCGACGGCAGGUGUGGCCAGGGUGGGGCUCCGAGCCCCGAGUCGCCGCCCGCCGAGCAUUCCAGGCACAUGAAGAGAAAGCAUUCCAAAGCCUCUGAUUGUUGUUUCCUUUUUCUCCUCCCGAAGGAACAGCUGAUUCAUGCUCCUCCCACAAUUGUUACGUCUGUGAUUUAUUUGGUGUUUCCGGCGUGGCCUCUGGAGCGCCGGCACGUGGUGGGCCACGCUGCUGGCGCUCAUGGGCCCUGGUGUUUGCACCGCACUUUGUAAUCAGUCCCGUGGUUGUCUGUACAGAAUUAAACUAUUUUCCGAUGAC